AGGGCCUACGGGAGGCAGCAGUGAGGAAUAUUGGUCAAUGGGCGAGAGCCUGAACCAGCCAAGUCGCGUGAGGGAGUACUGCCCUAUGGGUUGUAAACCUCUUUUGUCGGGGAGCAAAAGCCGGACGUGUCCGGCUGUGAGAGUACCCGAAGGAAAAGCAUCGGCUAACUACGUGCCAGCAGCCGCGGCAAUACGUAGGUGGCUAGCGUUAUCCGGAUUUAUUGGGCGUAAAGGGAACGCAGGCGGCCUGUUAAGUCUGAUGUGAAAGCCUUC
Molecule: ribosomal RNA, 273 nt
Filed under: uncultured bacterium
Lineage: Bacteria
Description: partial 16S ribosomal RNA
Rfam family: Bacterial small subunit ribosomal RNA
Source: RNAcentral